This 497-nucleotide ribosomal RNA is filed under the name uncultured bacterium. RNAcentral's name for it is "partial 16S ribosomal RNA". It matches the Rfam family "Bacterial small subunit ribosomal RNA", at positions 28 to 507 of the family's 1533-position model. The record is from RNAcentral.
GAUGAACGCUGGCGGCGUGCCUAAUACAUGCAAGUCGAGCGAACGGACGCGAAGCUUGCUUCUCUGAUGUUAGCGGCGGACGGGUGAGUAACACGUGGAUAACCUACCUAUAAGACUGGGAUAACUUCGGGAAACCGGAGCUAAUACCGGAUAAUAUUUUGAACCGCAUGGUUCAAAAGUGAAAGACGGUCUUGCUGUCACUUAUAGAUGGAUCCGCGCUGCAUUAGCUAGUUGGUAAGGUAACGGCUUACCAAGGCAACGAUGCAUAGCCGACCUGAGAGAGUGAUCGGCCACACUGGAACGGAGACACGGUCCAGACUCCUACGGGAGGCAGCAGUAUGGAAUCUGCCGCAAUGGGCGAAAGCCUGACGGAGCAACGCCGCGUGAGUGAUGAAGGUCUUCGGAGCGUAAAACUCUGUUAUUAGGGAAGAACAGAUGUGUAAGUAACUGUGCACAUCUUGACGGUACCUAAUCAGAAAGCCACGGCUAACUACGUG